UACGUAGGGUGCGAGCGUUGUCCGGAAUUAUUGGGCGUAAAGGGCUCGUAGGCGGUUUGUCGCGUCGGGAGUGAAAACACCGGGCUUAACUCGGUGCUUGCUUUCGAUACGGGCAGACUAGAGGUAUGCAGGGGAGAACGGAAUUCCCGGUGUAGCGGUGAAAUGCGCAGAUAUCGGGAAGAACACCCGUGGCGAAGGCGGCUCUCUGGGACGGUACUGACGCUGAGACGCGAAAGCGUGGGGAGCGAACAGG
Molecule: ribosomal RNA, 253 nt
Filed under: uncultured bacterium
Lineage: Bacteria
Description: partial 16S ribosomal RNA
Rfam family: Bacterial small subunit ribosomal RNA
Source: RNAcentral